Peromyscus maniculatus bairdii (prairie deer mouse) is the source of this 418-nucleotide non-coding RNA. The record is from RefSeq and is a predicted model, not a curated record. NCBI's taxonomy places the organism in Eukaryota, Metazoa, Chordata, Mammalia, Rodentia, Cricetidae.
AGCACCUGGUAUGUAGGAAGACCAUUGAAAACUGACAAGUUUGCAGCUGAGGUGAAGGAGAAAAGAGGUCAGGAAGACUGCCAAGUGUCUGUGUGUGGAGGUCACACGUCUGACAUCCUCAGGUGUGGUAUCAGAGGGCGAAGAAUUGGAAACUCAUGGAGGACUGCUAAAAACAACAAUACGGAAACCUACUAAUGCCUCUCCAUCCAAGAAAGCAAGGUCUGAGCAGCAACCAAGACAGAAAACAGACGAAUAUUCACAGAAACAUGCUGCUAUUGAGCUACGAUUACUCUUAAAUCACUUCAGAGUGGUUUUGUCAAUUAGUGAGUUAUGAAAUGUUCUUUGACUCCAUCAAAACACUUUGGCAUAAGUGUUGACAAUUGUACAAAAUAGAUUAAAUAAGUGAAAGGUGACUUCA